This 72-nucleotide transfer RNA is filed under the name Verrucomicrobiota bacterium. RNAcentral describes it as "Verrucomicrobia bacterium tRNA-Arg". It matches the Rfam family "tRNA". Rfam says of the family: Transfer RNA (tRNA) molecules are approximately 80 nucleotides in length. Their secondary structure includes four short double-helical elements and three loops (D, anti-codon, and T loops). RNAcentral also lists the same sequence under 2 other names. Lineage: Bacteria; Pseudomonadati; Verrucomicrobiota. The record is from RNAcentral.
GCCCCUGUAGUUCAACGGAUAGAACGAGCGUUUCCUAAACGCCAAAUCGAGGUUCGAUUCCUCGUGGGGGCG